Canis lupus familiaris (dog) is the source of this 1814-nucleotide long non-coding RNA. RefSeq lists it as uncharacterized. The transcript has 6 exons. The record is from RefSeq and is a predicted model, not a curated record. Lineage: Eukaryota; Metazoa; Chordata; Mammalia; Carnivora; Canidae.
UUCGGGGAAGGGGCGUGGGCCUCCAGUCGCGGUCCGGGACUCCGCCCGUUGCUGAGCGACCCGUAAUUACUUCCGCGUCGUUCUGACCAAUCCUGCGGGGGCUCCUGCCAGCGAGCAUCCUGGGAAAUGUAGGCCAGGCCCCGCAGGAGAGGGCUGCGGAGCCCACGGGGGAUGCCCAGGCUGGUCCGCUGGGCUCUGACCUCUCGUCUCCUAGGACCUUAGGAAGACUGAGACCUCCCCGAGCCUCCCAUCCCCCGCCUGGCGGACACACUUUGUAGCCCACGUAACCAUGACGCUAUAAAACGUGGUUGGGUUUAAAAAAAAAAAAAAAUGCAAAUUCCCACCCCGGUUUGGAGAAGAUGCUCCCAGCCCCAGCGGGAUUCUGUGGAUGCGUAAAGGACCAACGUUUAUAGACCGCUUAAUUCUGGGCCAAGAAUUCAGAAACGUAUCUCUUUCCUGUACUCGGACCCGACCCCCCCUUCCCCCUCCCCGUGAGGAGGGCACAGAAGAAGAAGAGCCGGGAAAUCGGGAAAUAACUGGCAGUUGAGACAGCGUUACUAAUUCCACAGCUAUUUGUGACUCCUGAACGGAGGACACGAAACCACAUCUUGUGCUUCUUUCUAUCACUAGCACUUAGUAAAAUACCUAGACCUGCAAGUUUAUUGAUUGAAAUGAAUCAAUGUGAUUCCAUAGAUCUGGUCUUCUUAGGCCUGGGAAGAUUCCUGACUCAUCUGACAAACGUCUCAUGGAAGGUAAUCAAUUAAGGAAGGAAGAAUACUGAACGGGAUUCCAAGGGAAAACUGUCUCCUGGUCAAUGUGGCCUUACAUAGGAAGAACAGAAAGUCCCCAAUACCGGUCCUCAGAUGGAUGCCCACGGGUUUUUACUCCUCCACAAGAAAAUUAGAAAAAUAAGGGAGAAGAAUUACCCUCCAGGGAGGCGGCCAGGUUGCCCAUCAUCACUUGAAAAUUGUGGUGAUGAGUCCAUUCUGUUUAAAGUCUUCCACCACCUGCUUAGAGUGUCUUAUUUUGACAGCCAAAGUUUCCAAGAUGUCACUCUGAUCUAUAGCUGUUGCAAUCUUGCAAAUGAAUUCUUCCAAAGAUUCCAGGCCCUGAAGCCCAAGAUUCAGCCCAGAUCCUGCCAGACAUCCACAUGUAAAUGUACCAGGGGAAGGGGACAUAAAGAAAAGGAAAGAAACAAAGAAAAAAAGAUAAUGACUCCAAAGCAGUCAGCACAGGGCCUGGCACAAGGCAAGCUGUUAACCUAAAAUAUUGUAUCACAGGAUGUCAGCUAUUGUCAUUGUUGUGUUGGGUGCUUAGAAGUGGACUUUAAGAAUUUUGGAAUUCAACCAUGAAGCACAACUCUGAUUUCAGAUCUGACCUUAAACAUAUGCAUAAUUAUAUGAAGGUUUUUACCAGCAUUAUCACAUACGCCGUUGUGACAAACACGUAGAGGAAAUCUGAACUCGUCAACACAAUGAACUGUGUUUAUGUGCACUUGUGGGAUCCUCCAGCACAUGUGUGCUCAUCUACCUCCGUCCCCUUCUUGGACUUGAGGCUAUUAGUAAUACACAUGCACGGAAGCCUGCCCCUUGUCUCCGGUGUUCUCUGCCUCCAAUGCCCUUCCUGCCUUCAACCACAUGAUUGCUACUCUCCUUCUUCACUAGCCUUCCUGUGUGUGUUACAGACCUGUUUGACAUCUUUGGUUCUUUCCCAGAAUAAUCUCUUCAGGUGUAUAAAAUAAAAUACAUGGAAUCAUAAAGGCAAGUAUAUUGAAAUACAAUUAUGAAAAUAUUAAUAAAAAUAUAAUAAAAUAA